Penaeus monodon (black tiger shrimp) is the source of this 475-nucleotide long non-coding RNA. RefSeq lists it as uncharacterized. NCBI's taxonomy places the organism in Eukaryota, Metazoa, Arthropoda, Malacostraca, Decapoda, Penaeidae. The transcript is spliced from 3 exons. The record is from RefSeq and is a predicted model, not a curated record.
AUUGUAAUUAUGUUUGGGAGAUAGUGUUGGGGACAAUAUUUGAUGCAUAAUGAUUUCUGAGAUUAGAUGAUUCAGCUAUGAAAUUGCAAUACAUUGACAUUCACUUUCUCUUUUCAGGUGGCCUGAAAACAUCUGGCAGUGGACAAUGUGGCUCGCUAACACAAGGCAGUGAACAGUGUAUGGUUUGAACAGCUUUAAAUGGCAGUGAGCAGUGUUAUGGUUUGAACAGCUUUAAGUAAUUAUACCUCUGUUUUACUAUUCAGUUUAGCUAUUUGUAAUGGCUUUAUUAUGAUAUUAGGAAUUACUGAAAAAUAAAUUUUAAUAGACCCAGGAAAAAUGGAAAAUGCUUAACAUAGGUAAUUGAAAUUCAUAUGCAAAAUUGAUAGAUCCACAUAUAACUUGAAGCACGUUCCUUAGAUCCAUCAGAUUUUUUUUUUGCCCACCAACUUACUGGUUGGUGGCCAUGUAUAUGUAC